UUCGGGGGACGAGGGUGACAGGUGGUGGCAUGGUUGUCGUCAGCUCGUGUCGUGAGAUGUUGGGUUAAGUCCCGCAACGAGCGCAACCCUCGACCUUAGUUGCCAGCAUUCAGUUGGGCACUCUAAGGUGACUGCCGGCUAAAAGUCGGAGGAAGGUGGGGGAUGACGUCAAAUCAUCAUGCCCCUUAUGACCUGGGCUACACACGUGCUACAAUGGGCGGUACAAAGGGUCGCGAACCCGCGAGGGGGAGCCAAUCCCAAAAAGCCGCUCUCAGUUCGGAUUGCAGGCUGCAACUCGCCUGCAUGAAGCCGGAAUCGCUAGUAAUCGCGGAUCAGCAUGCCGCGGUGAAUACGUUCCCGGGCCUU
Molecule: ribosomal RNA, 366 nt
Filed under: uncultured Anoxybacillus sp.
Lineage: Bacteria; Bacillati; Bacillota; Bacilli; Caryophanales; Anoxybacillaceae
Description: bacterial SSU rRNA
Rfam family: Bacterial small subunit ribosomal RNA
Source: RNAcentral